Molecule: ribosomal RNA, 530 nt
Filed under: uncultured bacterium
Lineage: Bacteria
Description: partial 16S ribosomal RNA
Source: RNAcentral
GGAGUUAGCCGGUGCUUCUUCUGUGAGUGAUGUCCUUCCUGCCGGCUAUUAACCCGCAGGCCUUCUUCCUCACUGAAAGUGCUUUACAACCCGAAGGCCUUCUUCACACACGCGGCAUGGCUGGAUCAGGGUUGCCCCCAUUGUCCAAUAUUCCCCACUGCUGCCUCCCGUAGGAGUCUGGGCCGUGUCUCAGUCCCAGUGUGGCUGAUCAUCCUCUCAGACCAGCUACGGAUCGUCGCCUUGGUGAGCCGUUACCUCACCAACCAGCUAAUCCGACAUAGGCUCAUCCGAUAGCGCGAGGCCCGAAGGUCCCCCGCUUUCCCCCGUAGGGCGUAUGCGGUAUUAGCCUGGGUUUCCCCCAGGUUAUCCCCCACUACCGGGCAGAUUCCUAUGCAUUACUCACCCGUCCGCCGCUCGCCACCAGGGAGCAAGCUCCCCGUGCUGCCGCUCGACUUGCAUGUGUUAGGCCUGCCGCCACGCGUCAUCUGAGCAGAUACAACCUACNCGACGNGCGGCGGCGCGACGACGCG